UUACAAAGCUUUGAUGAUUACGGACAAAGGUAGUCAGAGGAGUUGGUUGUCUUUUGAACAGUGGCAUUACGCCCAGCUGAUGCAGCCUAUCAUUGAUUCUAUUAUGGUUAUUGGAUUUAUUGAGUAUGCCCACAAGAAAAUGAAUCUCAGUGUCUGUGCCAAGCAUUUGGGUCCGCCUUCAGUGCCCUGUUAUGACAAGAAGACCUUCAAAAGUGAAAUUUUGAGAGUACAAAGCUUCUAUGUGCCUGUCAGAAUAAAAGGGAAUUGAGGCCCUGGUUCAGAGAGAAGAAAGGAGAUGCACAGCAGGUUGACUGCUCAAGUUGGUGUGGUGGUCUUUCAUUGAUUCUGUUAUGGUUAUUAUUCAAUGGAUUUAUCGAGUAUGCCCCCACAAAAAUGAAUCUUAGAGUUGUAUAUUGGUGACAUACACAGUAUUUACUUUGAUAAUAAAUUUACUUUGAACUUUUGACAUUUUAUUCUGCAAUCUAUUAUUGUUUUAUCUUAUUUUACCUAAAU
Molecule: long non-coding RNA, 513 nt
Organism: Mobula hypostoma (lesser devil ray)
Lineage: Eukaryota; Metazoa; Chordata; Chondrichthyes; Myliobatiformes; Myliobatidae
Exons: 4
Source: RefSeq, a predicted model, not a curated record